Long non-coding RNA from Papaver somniferum (opium poppy), 1301 nucleotides. RefSeq lists it as uncharacterized. NCBI's taxonomy places the organism in Eukaryota, Viridiplantae, Streptophyta, Magnoliopsida, Ranunculales, Papaveraceae. The transcript has 2 exons. The record is from RefSeq and is a predicted model, not a curated record.
AAACAACUUUUAACGCCGUCACACACUUGCUAACUACUUCUGUUACUCAGAUGGUUUUACAGUUUGACUAUGAGGAAAACACGCAGCUUUCUGUCGAUAGAAGAAAAUUGCUUAAACAGGUGUGAUGGGUUCUUUGUUAAUCAUGGAAUUGUGGUUGAACAGUAAGUAAGUUAAGGCUUUGGGAAGAUGUCGCUAUCUAUCGCAUUGCAGCUUCGUGCUCUUCGUGUUGUGCUCGUCGUGUGGGUGUUCUCGUGUUGGUCCCCUUUGCCGCAUUGUAGUACUUCUCCUAAUUUCUCUCUUCGCUUAUACCAGUAAUUACUUUAGUGAGGGCGAGACUGUGGGUUAGUUCACUGCGAUAUUUCGCCCCUACAUUUUUCCUCUUCUCGCGUUAUUCUUCUGCAAGUGGAAUAAUGCGAGAAUUCUUGGUAAAUCUUCUUUAUUCAAUGUAUCUCCGUGAUUUACGCAUAUUUAUUACACGUGUUGUCAACUUCCUUCUUUUCCGGCGGUGCGUCUUUAUUGCUUUCCCUAUAUAAAUACCAGAAGUGGUGAGGAACAUUUUUUCAUAUUUCUCUUUCUCUUUAGCUUUUAGGGUUUUAUGUGCUCUUCAAACUUCAUGUUUUUUUAUGAUAGAUUGUAGUAUGCUUCUUCCUGCUGCUGUUGUAUCACUUUUCCGGUAAAUCAUUGCCUCAGCCCUCCAUGCUUUGUAAUUUUCUCUUGCCUUAUGAAAUUCCUUAUCUCAUUUUGAUGCUUUUCUUCUUUUGCAGGUCUAGAUCUUGUUUUCAUCAUGACUGGGGGCCUUUUGCAGAUGCGCUUUCAUUCUUUGAGCAUGAUGGUAUUUCCUCUCAGCUGUAAAAUCCCCAAUUUCAUCCUCGGGUCACUAUUUGGAAAGAGUUGUUUACCGAGCUUGUCAGUAGGAUCGCUCUUCGGAAAGGGCUAUCCACCGAUCUUGUUGGAAGGAUCUACUUCACUAUGGUUCUCGCCCUGAGCUUGGAGUCAUCUCUGGUCACUCUUCGGAAUAGUUGAACCGUCGGGUCUUUUUGGAGGACUUAUUUUGUUGCUCACGUCUUAGUUUGGAGUCGCCUUGUGGCGCUGAUCCUAAUUACUCCGGUGAUACUGAUCCCAGUUGCUCCAGCGGGUUUGAUGUGCGGCUGGUGAUGUGACUUCGCGUAUGGAGAUCUUAAUCGCGUGUUUUUACGUGUCUUUGUUUAUAUUUUGCGGUUGCUUUCUGUAUUCUAACCUUAUAAACGAGCAUGCAUCUGAAUAAUCUAAAUGAUAAAUUAAUAUUUUGAUUGAAUUUUUAA